This 90-nucleotide non-coding RNA is filed under the name Cimex lectularius (bed bug). RNAcentral describes it as "tRNA". It matches the Rfam family "tRNA". Rfam says of the family: Transfer RNA (tRNA) molecules are approximately 80 nucleotides in length. Lineage: Eukaryota; Metazoa; Arthropoda; Insecta; Hemiptera; Cimicidae. The record is from Rfam by way of RNAcentral.
CCUCUGGUAGCUCAGUUGGUAGAGCGGUGGACUGUAGUGGUCGUUAAAACAGGUAUCCAUAGUUCGCUGGUUCAAAUCCGGCCCGGAGGA